This 195-nucleotide small nuclear RNA is filed under the name Pseudonaja textilis. RNAcentral's name for it is "U1 spliceosomal RNA (ENSPTXG00000017741.1)". It matches the Rfam family "U1 spliceosomal RNA". Rfam says of the family: U1 is a small nuclear RNA (snRNA) component of the spliceosome (involved in pre-mRNA splicing). Lineage: Eukaryota; Metazoa; Chordata; Lepidosauria; Squamata; Elapidae. The record is from Rfam by way of RNAcentral.
AUACUUACUUGCAGGGGAGACGCCAUGAUCACGAAGGUGGUUCUCCCAGGGGUCGGCUCAUCCAUUGCACACCGGCUGUGCUCACCCCUGCAGUUUCCUUAAAAAAAAUUAAUUGUCUUUGGUGCAAAUGCUCUCAGUGGGAAACUGACUGUAUAAUUUGUGGUAGUGGGGGAUUGUGUUUUGCACUUUCCCCUG